Molecule: long non-coding RNA, 1963 nt
Filed under: Sorghum bicolor (sorghum)
Lineage: Eukaryota; Viridiplantae; Streptophyta; Magnoliopsida; Poales; Poaceae
Description: long non-coding RNA (SBIC_LNC012814)
Source: RNAcentral
GCAUUAUUGCGACUACAACCCCCGGGUCCUUCGGGACCCAUGGGUUCGACAUGCUCAACCACAAGAGCCAACACAGGAGACAUGGCCGGAGAGUCAAGAUCACAAGUGGACAAACCCACCUUUCCGUACGGGUAGGUACUCCACUGAUCCAUAUGGAGCUUUAGGGUCCAGACCUCCACCCCAAUUCGAUGAAGGACGAUACUCCGACGCCUCUUAUGCUUUCACGAACGACUACUACCAAGAGGCCGGCGCUUUCUUCACCCGUACCGAAAACACUCUCCUCGACAUCCAGAAUACGCAAGCAGAACAUGGAAGACUCUUGGAACAGCAACAAAAAUGGAACCAAGACCACGCCGCUGCAGUACAAGAACUGAGACAAGACACCACGACGAUGAACGACAAGAUCACCACCAUGAUGCGAUUCUGGAACAUUGGGUAAGACUGACAAUCACAUCCAGCUUGGGGGAGUUCCUCCCUGUUUUAUCAAGUAAGUUUUUAUUUGCUCUUCUUAUUUAUUCUUUUUUGUUUUAGUGUUUUAUUUAUCUUAAGGAAAUAACUUAGAAAACCCAAUAAAUAUUUUCUUGCUUUAAUUUACUGCAUUCUAUAAACAUGAAAACAAAAUAAAAGGAGUGUGUAGAUAAGUGUGCUUUAUUUUUCCUGCUAAGUUUAAUCUAUAAAAAAAUAAAAGACCAAAAAAAUGCAUGAUGUAAAUGAUGAACAGUUGCUCUGCUUGCUUACUUUCAAGUACCUAGCUUUUAUAUUAGAGUUCUUCCAGAAAUUACUAAAACUGAAAUUACUAUCUAUAGGAAGCAUAAAACUAGAGUCUAGGUAAGAGAAAUGCAUGAUAUAAAGUUUGAGCUACUGUUUAUCUUGUUCCUACUACACUAGUUCUAGAUUUAUCUUGAAAACUUACAAAUCACAUGAUGAGUUCCUAGCAUAACAAAAUUCCUACCACAACCAUACUUGCUAUAACAUCUUUUAUUAUAGUCACGUUGAGUUUGAUCGAGUUGUGUUGACCCUUAGGAGCUUUUCAUGUGGUUAAAUGAAGAUAUUCACUUGCACACAUCUACUACACCAUUCACCACCAUGCAUUAAAAUUGCUAAAAAUAUUAUUAUCACUCACUGUCCCAAGUAUUGUUAUUCUCUCUCUAAAAAGAUUCAAUGCAGAAGAGGCAUAGGUUAUGCAAAAAUAUGCGAGGAAAUAAAAAGGGGCAAGUGCCCGAAACCUCGAAAAGAAAGAAAAAGAGUGAGACGAGAGGUAAAAAUGGACAAGUGUCCAGAGUAGAAUUAGGGGUACAAAGAUGCCCACUUGAGUAGAAAAAAAUGGACAAGUGUCUGACAGUAGAAUUAGGGGUAUCCACUACCCACCUGAAAAAAAAGAAGAAAAUAAAAAGAUAGCCCAUGUUCUCUCAAAGCAAAGAUCAAAGAAGAGGAGAGAUAGCAAUAUGAGGAGCAAUGAGAAGUAAAUUUUAUGAUCACUUAUACAUCACUAUCAUUUACUCCACCGCACAUGCACAUCUUGAUUUAAUUAUAUGCUGAGUUCCUUUGGAUCCAUGGCUCGAUUAGACAACAUAUGUAUGAGCUGUUUUUCACUCCUAUGAGCUCCACAUAAAUAUUCCAUUAGAUAUAGGUAAGUGACAUUUUGGUAAGGAUCCACAAAUACCACAUAUAGAGAGAUUCGGGAGAAUCAUAGCUGGGAACUCUGAGUUUUAUUUUGAAAACUUAUGCAAAACUCUGGAACCAAGGUGAAGUAUAAACAAGAGGAAUAGUGCUUGACUUAAUUAUUUUGUCUUUCGAUUACUUAAGACUCAAGUGCAGGUACUAAGCUUCAUGACACUUCACUCUAAUCUGGAAGAAUUUUAUAUGGAAGCAUGUGUGCCUGUCACGAAACAAAACAUCGAAGCAACUCAUGAUCCGUCUGAGUUUAGCUAUUUGCUCAGGGACGAGCAAAGGGUAAGCUUGG